AGUGAACGCUGGCGGUAGGCCUAACACAUGCAAGUCGAACGGCAGCACAGUAAGAGCUUGCUCUUACGGGUGGCGAGUGGCGGACGGGUGAGGAAUACAUCGGAAUCUACUUUUUCGUGGGGGAUAACGUAGGGAAACUUACGCUAAUACCGCAUACGACCUACGGGUGAAAGCAGGGGAUCUUCGGACCUUGCGCGAUUGAAUGAGCCGAUGUCGGAUUAGCUAGUUGGCGGGGUAAAGGCCCACCAAGGCGACGAUCCGUAGCUGGUCUGAGAGGAUGGUCAGGCACACUGGAACUGAGACACGGUCCAGACUCCUACGGGAGGCAGCAGUGGGGAAUAUUGGACAAUGGGCGCAAGCCUGAUCCAGCCAUACCGCGUGGGUGAAGAAGGCCUUCGGGUUGUAAAGCCCUUUUGUUGGGAAAGAAAAGCAGCAGGUUAAUACCCCGCUGUUCUGACGGUACCCAAAGAAUAAGCACCGGCUAACUUCGUG
This 492-nucleotide ribosomal RNA is filed under the name uncultured bacterium. RNAcentral's name for it is "partial 16S ribosomal RNA". It matches the Rfam family "Bacterial small subunit ribosomal RNA", at positions 29 to 507 of the family's 1533-position model. The record is from RNAcentral.